AAUAGAUACCCGGGUAGUCCAUGCCGUAAACGAUGAGUACUAGCUGUCUGGGGUAUCGACUCCCUGGGUAGCGAAGCAAACGCGAUAAGUACUCCGCCUGGGGACUACGGCCGCAAGGCUAAACUCAAAGGAAUUGACGGGGGCCCGCACAAGCAGCGGAGCGUGCGGUUUAAUUCGAAGCUACGCGAAGAACCUUACCAGGGCUUGACAUGUCCCUGACCGCCGAUGAAAGUCGGUUUCCCUUCGGGGCAGGGUCACAGAUGCUGCAUGGCUGUCGUCAGCUCGUGCCGUGAGGUGUUGGGUUAAGUCCCGCAACGAGCGCAACCCUCGUCGUGUGUUGAAUUUUUCACACGAGACUGCCCGGAGCAACCGGGAGGAAGGCGGGGAUGACGUCAAGUCAGCAUGGCUCUUACGUCCUGGGCUACUCGCACGCUACAAUGGGCAGUACAGACCGUUGCGAUAUCGCGAGAUGGAGCUAAUCGGACAAAGCUGUCCUCAGUACGGAUUGCAGGCUGCAACUCG
Molecule: ribosomal RNA, 522 nt
Filed under: uncultured bacterium
Lineage: Bacteria
Description: bacterial SSU rRNA
Rfam family: Bacterial small subunit ribosomal RNA
Source: RNAcentral